This 510-nucleotide ribosomal RNA is filed under the name Hydractinia yerii. Its description in RNAcentral is "partial 16S ribosomal RNA". It matches the Rfam family "Bacterial large subunit ribosomal RNA", at positions 1883 to 2552 of the family's 2925-position model. Lineage: Eukaryota; Metazoa; Cnidaria; Hydrozoa; Anthoathecata; Hydractiniidae. The record is from RNAcentral.
UUUUAAACAAAUAAUAAUAAUUUUUUAAAAGAAAAUUAAAAGGACGCANUAACCUGACUGUGAUAAUGUAGCAUAAUCAUUCGCCACUUAAUUGGUGGAUAGUAUGAAUGGUUGAACGAGUUCUUCCCUGUCUUAACAAAAGAAGCCAUGAAAUUAAAAUUAUAGUUAAGAUGCUAUUUAAAAUUGUAAGACGAAAAGACCCUAUAGAGCUUAACUAUAUACUUUUUUUAACAAUAGAAUCUAAAUUCUAAAAAUAAAAAGUUAGGUAGUUUAGUUGGGGCGACUAUCUUCUAAAAAUAACGAAGACAAGCAAUGUUAAUAAUUAACUUAUUGUAUAAUAAAUAAAUUUAACAAUUACAAAAGUAGGCUAUAAUGACCCGUUAUAAUAAAAAAAUAUUCAUAACGAUCAAUAAAUAAAAGCUACCUUAGGGAUAACAGGAUAAUUUUAUUUUAGAGAUCUCAUCGAAAAUAAAGUUUGUCACCUCUAUGUUGAAUUAAGAUAUCCAGAUA